CUACGGGGGGCUGCAGUGGGGAAUAUUGGACAAUGGGGGAAACCCUGAUCCAGCAAUGCCGCGUGAGUGAAGAAGGCCUUCGGGUUGUAAAGCUCUUUUACCUGUGACGAUAAUGACGGUAACAGGGGAAUAAGCACCGGCUAACUUCGUGCCAGCAGCCGCGGUAAUAUGAAGGGUGCUAGCGUUGUUCGGAAUUACUGGGCGUAAAGGGCGCGUAGGCGGUCUUUUAAGUCAGAUGUGAAAGCCCUGGGCUCAACCUGGGAACUGCAUUUGAAACUGGGAGACUAGAGAUCGAAAGAGGAAAGUGGAAUGACGAGUGUAGAGGUGAAAUUCGUAGAUAUUCGUUGGAACACCAGUGGCGAAGGCGACUUUCUGGUUCGAUACUGACGCUAAGGCGCGAAAGCGUGGGGAGCAAACAGGAUUAGAUACCCCGGUAGUC
This 439-nucleotide ribosomal RNA is filed under the name uncultured bacterium. Its description in RNAcentral is "partial 16S ribosomal RNA". It matches the Rfam family "Bacterial small subunit ribosomal RNA", at positions 339 to 795 of the family's 1533-position model. The record is from RNAcentral.